CUACGGGGUGCAGCGGUGAGGAAUAUUGCACAAUGGGGGGAACCCUGAUGCAGCAACGCCGCGUGGAGGAUGACGCAUUUCGGUGUGUAAACUCCUUUUAUAUGUCAAGAAAAUGACGGUAGCAUAUGAAUAAGCACCGGCUAACUCCGUGCCAGCAGCCGCGGUAAUACGGAGGGUGCAAGCGUUACUCGGAAUCACUGGGUGUAAAGGACGCGUAGGCGGGUUGGAAAGUCAGGUGUGAAAUCCUACAGCUUAACUGUAGAACUGCACUUGAAACUUCUAAUCUAGAGUAUGGGAGGGGGAGAUGGAAUUAGUGGUGUAGGGGUAAAAUCCGUAGAUAUCACUAGGAAUACCUAAAGCGAAGGCGAUCUCCUGGAACAUUACUGACGCUAAGGCGUGAAAGCGUGGGGAGCAAACAGGAUUAGAUACGCCUGUAGUC
RNAcentral lists this ribosomal RNA (439 nucleotides) under uncultured bacterium. RNAcentral's name for it is "partial 16S ribosomal RNA". It matches the Rfam family "Bacterial small subunit ribosomal RNA", at positions 339 to 795 of the family's 1533-position model. The record is from RNAcentral.